CCUACGGGCGGCAGCAGUGGGGGAUAUUGCACAAUGGGGGCAACCCUGAUGCAGCGACGCCGCGUGUGGGAAGACGGUCCUCUGGAUUGUAAACCACUGUCCCCAGGGACGAAACUGACGGUACCUGGGGAGGAAGCUCCGGCUAACUACGUGCAAGCAGCCGCGGUACUACGUAGGGAGCGAGCGUUGUCCGGAAUUACUGGGUGUAAAGGGAGCGUAGGCGGGACUGCAAGUUGGGUGGCAAAGCUACCGGCUCAACCGGUAGCCGCACUCAGAACUGCAGUUCUUGAGGGCAGUAGAGGCAGGCGGAAGUCCUAGUGUAGCGGUGAAAUGCGUAGAUAUUAGGAAGAACACCAGUUGCGAAGGCAGCCUGCUGGGCUUUUACUGACGCUGAGGCUCGAAAGUGUGGGGAGCAAACAGGAUUAGAUACCCUUGUAGUC
This 440-nucleotide ribosomal RNA is filed under the name uncultured bacterium. RNAcentral describes it as "partial 16S ribosomal RNA". It matches the Rfam family "Bacterial small subunit ribosomal RNA", at positions 338 to 795 of the family's 1533-position model. The record is from RNAcentral.